This 86-nucleotide ribosomal RNA is filed under the name Saimiri boliviensis boliviensis (Bolivian squirrel monkey). The record is from RNAcentral. Lineage: Eukaryota; Metazoa; Chordata; Mammalia; Primates; Cebidae.
GUCUAAGGCCAUACCACCCUGAACGCGCCCGAUCUCGUCAGAUCUCAAAAGGUUAUGGGGGCUGCUAUAACAAAAUAUCAUAGUCU